UUUUAAAAAGCUUUAAGCAUUUCAUUUACACUGAAAAAAUCUGACUAUUUUAUCU
Molecule: transfer RNA, 55 nt
Filed under: Hypochilus thorelli
Lineage: Eukaryota; Metazoa; Arthropoda; Arachnida; Araneae; Hypochilidae
Description: tRNA-Val
Source: RNAcentral